This 472-nucleotide ribosomal RNA is filed under the name uncultured organism. RNAcentral's name for it is "partial 16S ribosomal RNA". It matches the Rfam family "Bacterial small subunit ribosomal RNA", at positions 334 to 797 of the family's 1533-position model. The record is from RNAcentral.
CACUCCUGCGGGAGGCAGCAGUGGGGAAUUUUGGACAAUGGGCGAAAGCCUGAUCCAGCAAUGCCGCGUGAGUGAAGAAGGCCUUCGGGUUGUAAAGCUCUUUUGUCAGGGAAGAAACGGUGAAAGCUAAUAUCUUUUGCUAAUGACGGUACCUGAAGAAUAAGCACCGGCUAACUACGUGCCAGCAGCCGCGGUAAUACGUAGGGUGCAAGCGUUAAUCGGAAUUACUGGGCGUAAAGCGUGCGCAGGCGGUUUUGUAAGUCUGAUGUGAAAUCCCCGGGCUCAACCUGGGAAUUGCAUUGGAGACUGCAAGGCUAGAAUCUGGCAGAGGGGGGUAGAAUUCCACGUGUAGCAGUGAAAUGCGUAGAUAUGUGGAGGAACACCGAUGGCGAAGGCAGCCCCCUGGGUCAAGAUUGACGCUCAUGCACGAAAGCGUGGGGAGCAAACAGGAUUAGAAACCCGGGUAGUCCCA